RNAcentral lists this ribosomal RNA (356 nucleotides) under Bacillus toyonensis. RNAcentral's name for it is "bacterial SSU rRNA". It matches the Rfam family "Bacterial small subunit ribosomal RNA", at positions 76 to 427 of the family's 1533-position model. Lineage: Bacteria; Bacillati; Bacillota; Bacilli; Caryophanales; Bacillaceae. The record is from RNAcentral.
UUGCUCUCAAGAAGUUAGCGGCGGACGGGUGAGUAACACGUGGGUAACCUGCCCAUAAGACUGGGAUAACUCCGGGAAACCGGGGCUAAUACCGGAUAACAUUUUGAACUGCAUGGUUCGAAAUUGAAAGGCGGCUUCGGCUGUCACUUAUGGAUGGACCCGCGUCGCAUUAGCUAGUUGGUGAGGUAACGGCUCACCAAGGCAACGAUGCGUAGCCGACCUGAGAGGGUGAUCGGCCACACUGGGACUGAGACACGGCCCAGACUCCUACGGGAGGCAGCAGUAGGGAAUCUUCCGCAAUGGACGAAAGUCUGACGGAGCAACGCCGCGUGAGUGAUGAAGGCUUUCGGGUCGUA